Long non-coding RNA from Gadus morhua (Atlantic cod), 157 nucleotides. RefSeq lists it as uncharacterized. NCBI's taxonomy places the organism in Eukaryota, Metazoa, Chordata, Actinopteri, Gadiformes, Gadidae. The record is from RefSeq and is a predicted model, not a curated record. The transcript has 2 exons.
UCUGACACUAAUCAAGAACAUUUCCUUUCAGUGUGAUGAUGUCGAUGUUGGACGAGAGUGCAUUAUCAAGGGAGUCUGCAUCUACAUGGGUGAAAAUCCAGAAAACCUUGUGCACGAUUACGCGGGCAUGGAUGGAGACGCCUUCAAUGCUGCUAUU